AUUGAACGCUGGCGGCAGGCCUAACACAUGCAAGUCGAACGGUAACAGAAAGCAGCUUGCUGCUUUGCUGACGAGUGGCGGACGGGUGAGUAAUGUCUGGGAAACUGCCUGAUGGAGGGGGAUAACUACUGGAAACGGUAGCUAAUACCGCAUAACGUCGCAAGACCAAAGAGGGGGACCUUCGGGCCUCUUGCCAUCGGAUGUGCCCAGAUGGGAUUAGCUAGUAUGUGGGGUAACGGCUCACCUAGGCGACGAUCCCUAGCUGGUCUGAGAGGAUGACCAGCCACACUGGAACUGAGACACGGUCCAGACUCCUACGGGAGGCAGCAGUGGGGAAUAUUGCACAAUGGGCGCAAGCCUGAUGCAGCCAUGCCGCGUGUAUGAAGAAGGCCUUCGGGUUGUAAAGUACUUUCAGCGGGGAGGAAGGGAGUAAAGUUAAUACCUUUGCUCAUUGACGUUACCCGCAGAAGAAGCACCGGCUAACUCCGUG
This 490-nucleotide ribosomal RNA is filed under the name uncultured bacterium. Its description in RNAcentral is "partial 16S ribosomal RNA". It matches the Rfam family "Bacterial small subunit ribosomal RNA", at positions 30 to 507 of the family's 1533-position model. The record is from RNAcentral.